This 365-nucleotide ribosomal RNA is filed under the name uncultured bacterium. RNAcentral's name for it is "bacterial SSU rRNA". It matches the Rfam family "Bacterial small subunit ribosomal RNA", at positions 527 to 895 of the family's 1533-position model. The record is from RNAcentral.
GGAGGGUGCAAGCGUUAUCCGGAUUCACUGGGUUUAAAGGGUGCGUAGGUGGGUCGGUAAGUCAGUGGCGAAAUCUCCGAGCUUAACUUGGAAACUGCCAUUGAUACUAUCAGUCUUGAAUAUUGUGGAGGUUAGCGGAAUAUGUCAUGUAGCGGUGAAAUGCUUAGAUAUGACAUAGAACACCAAUUGCGAAGGCAGCUGGCUACACAUAUAUUGACACUGAGGCACGAAAGCGUGGGGAUCAAACAGGAUUAGAUACCCUGGUAGUCCACGCCCUAAACUAUGGAUACUCGACAUAUGCGAUACACUGUAUGUGUCUGAGCGAAAGCAUUAAGUAUCCCACCUGGAAGUACGAUCGCAAGAUU